Molecule: ribosomal RNA, 253 nt
Filed under: uncultured bacterium
Lineage: Bacteria
Description: partial 16S ribosomal RNA
Rfam family: Bacterial small subunit ribosomal RNA
Source: RNAcentral
UACGUAGGGGGCUAGCGUUGUCCGGAAUCAUGGGGCGUAAAGAGCGUGUAGGCGGUCCGGUAAGUCCGCUGUGAAAGUCGGGGGCUCAACCCUCGAAUGCCGGUGGAUACUGUCGGGCUAGAGUGCGGAAGAGGCGAGUGGAAUUCCUGGUGUAGCGGUGAAAUGCGCAGAUAUCAGGAGGAACACCUAUUGCGAAGGCAGCUCGCUGGGACGUAACUGACGCUGAGACGCGAAAGCGUGGGGAGCAAACAGG